UAACACAUGCAAGUCCAACGAUGAACUGGUGCUUGCACUGGGGAUUAGUGGCGAACGGGUGAGUAACACGUGAGUAACCUGCCCUUGACUCUGGGAUAAGCCUGGGAAACUGGGUCUAAUACCGGAUAUGACUCCUCAUCGCAUGGUGGGGGGUGGAAAGCUUUUGUGGUUUUGGAUGGACUCGCGGCCUAUCAGCUUGUUGGUGGGGUAAUGGCCUACCAAGGCGACGACGGGUAGCCGGCCUGAGAGGGUGACCGGCCACACUGGGACUGAGACACGGCCCAGACUCCUACGGGAGGCAGCAGUGGGGAAUAUUGCACAAUGGGCGGAAGCCUGAUGCAGCGACGCCGCGUGAGGGAUGACGGCCUUCGGGUUGUAAACCUCUUUCAGUAGGGAAGAAGCCGCAAGGUGACGGUACCUGCAGAAGAAGCGCCGGCUAACUACGUGCCAGCACCCGCGGUAAUACGUAGGGCGCAAGCGUUAUCCGGAAUUAUUGGGCGUAAAGAGCUCGUAGGCGGUUUGUC
RNAcentral lists this ribosomal RNA (524 nucleotides) under Arthrobacter sp. AL23. RNAcentral describes it as "bacterial SSU rRNA". It matches the Rfam family "Bacterial small subunit ribosomal RNA", at positions 49 to 584 of the family's 1533-position model. Lineage: Bacteria; Bacillati; Actinomycetota; Actinomycetes; Micrococcales; Micrococcaceae. The record is from RNAcentral.